This 422-nucleotide long non-coding RNA is filed under the name Manihot esculenta (cassava). RNAcentral's name for it is "long non-coding RNA (MESC_LNC006608)". Lineage: Eukaryota; Viridiplantae; Streptophyta; Magnoliopsida; Malpighiales; Euphorbiaceae. The record is from RNAcentral.
GCUCAUCACUUAAAAAGUUAUAAGAUUUGAUUUAUCAUUAUUAAACAAAGGAUGUGAGAUCGGAAAGAGGCGCCAAGAGCACCUCGGGAUCAUACAGAGCUGAGAGCUCAGAAAUUAACUCAAGGAUUAAAAGGCCGAGCUCACAGGUCGAAUUAGUCCAGCUCGGAAAACAUAACUUGAGAGCUCGGUCGGCUAAAGGAGGCUCAAAGCUCAAUCCAUCAAGAAAAGACCGAGCUCACAGGUCGGUUAGUCAAGCUCGGAAGAGUAAACCGCCCGUCCAAUUGGUUAAGUAGGCCUGAGGCUCGGCUCAUCGACUAAAAGAAGAAGUUCGCGAAAUACGGUCAAUUCAGCUCGGAAAAAACGGAACAAAAGUUAGUUGGCUAAAGCUACGAAGAAGAGCAGUAUCAAUACUUCAUCCAUGG